Saccostrea cuccullata (small rock oyster) is the source of this 1001-nucleotide long non-coding RNA. RefSeq lists it as uncharacterized. The record is from RefSeq and is a predicted model, not a curated record. NCBI's taxonomy places the organism in Eukaryota, Metazoa, Mollusca, Bivalvia, Ostreida, Ostreidae. The transcript has 3 exons.
UUUAUCAUAAAAAUCUCUGAAGCUUUUAAUUUGAAAUUUUAAAAAAUAUGCUGUUCGAAUUUAUUCAAAAGUCAGGAAAUUGGGGGGUUACCAGUGAACUUAAACUGUGGCAAUUAUAGAUCGAUCGCUGUUUACUUCACAUUAUUCGUCGCUGAAAGGAAAACCUAAUGAAUUUAACUAGUGUGCCUCCUAAAGAGUUUGUCGUGAUACCGUUAUGUCUCUGUAUAAAGAUUUAAGCCAGGAGCUAAGGAAUUUUGAGGACAUAAUAAUUUAAUGUAAACGUUUGACUCGUCUCAGCUAAGAGCAGAAAAAAAGGAAACUACAUCAGCAAUAAAAAAAACACUGUCCUUUGGUACCAAUUGUAACAAUCAUAUUUUUGAUUUUUUGAUGUGGCUUCUCAUUGAAUUCAAAGACAGGAUGAGUAAUUUUUGAUUUGUUGAACUAUUUGAUGGGAUAUAGUUCUGGCUGACGUAUCAGUAGGAAACACAUUGUAUAUUUUAAAUAAUCAAUCAAUCAAACCUUGCUUAAUAUUUUGUUUUAAUUUUGGCUGUAAAACAAGUAAGAAAUACAGAAGGAGUGGAAAGAGAUCUUUUUAUGCGCCCGGAUCGAAAGAUCCGAGGCGUAUAUUGUUUUUGUCCUGUCUGUCUGUCUGUCUGUUUGUCUGUUUAUCUGUUUGUCUGUUUGUCUGCAAACUUUAACCUUCACCAUAACUUUUGAACCAUGAAUGGUUGAGACUUCAUAUUUGGUAUGCAUACUCUACUAAUUAAGCUCUUUCAAAUGACACCAUGGUCAAUGACCUUGUUACCUUGACUGUGACCUAUACACUAAAUAUAGUUUUUUUGUCAGCAAACUUUAACCUUCGCCAUAACUUUUGAACGAAGAAAGAUAGAGACUUAUAGUUGGAAUGUAUACUCCACUAAUUAUUUACUACAUGAAGUUCUAAAUGUUUUAUUAACUAUACACCACAUCAUGUUUAAUAUUCAUUGUUUAGUACCCUUGCA